AUGCUUCUGUGAUGUUUUAGCACUGGGCUCUGACCUCAUGUGAAGACACCGUGCAGUUCUGCUCCUGACAUGGCAGACUCUGAGAAGUGC
RNAcentral lists this small nucleolar RNA (90 nucleotides) under Sinocyclocheilus grahami. Lineage: Eukaryota; Metazoa; Chordata; Actinopteri; Cypriniformes; Cyprinidae. The record is from RNAcentral.